Molecule: ribosomal RNA, 497 nt
Filed under: uncultured bacterium
Lineage: Bacteria
Description: partial 16S ribosomal RNA
Rfam family: Bacterial small subunit ribosomal RNA
Source: RNAcentral
GAUGAACGCUGGCGGCGUGCCUAAUACAUGCCAGUCGAGCGAACAGACGAGGAGCUUGCUCCUCUGACGUUAGCGGCGGACGGGUGAGUAACACGUGGAUAACCUACCUAUAAGACUGGGAUAACUUCGGGAAACCGGAGCUAAUACCGGAUAAUAUAUUGAACCGCAUGGUUCAAUAGUGAAAGACGGUUUUGCUGUCACUUAUAGAUGGAUCCGCGCCGCGUUAGCUAGUUGGUAAGGUAACGGCUUACCAAGGCGACGAUGCGUAGCCGACCUGAGAGGGUGAUCGGCCACACUGGAACUGAGACACGGUCCAGACUCCUACGGGAGGCAGCAGUAGGGGAUCUUCCGCAAUGGGCGAAAGCCUGACGGAGCAACGCCGCGUGAGUGAUGAAGGUCUUCGGAUCGUAAAACUCUGUUAUUAGGGAAGAACAAAUGUGUAAGUAACUAUGCACGUCUUGACGGUACCUAAUCAGAAAGCCACGGCUAACUACGUG